This 450-nucleotide ribosomal RNA is filed under the name uncultured bacterium. RNAcentral describes it as "partial 16S ribosomal RNA". It matches the Rfam family "Bacterial small subunit ribosomal RNA", at positions 354 to 796 of the family's 1533-position model. The record is from RNAcentral.
GUGGGGAAUUUUGGACAAUGGGCGCAAGCCUGAUCCAGCCAUUCCGCGUGCAGGAUGAAGGCCUUCGGGUUGUAAACUGCUUUUGUACGGAACGAAAAGGUUCUCUCUAAUACAGGGGGCUGAUGACGGUACCGUAAGAAUAAGCACCGGCUAACUACGUGCCAGCAGCCGCGGUAAUACGUAGGGUGCAAGCGUUAAUCGGAAUUACUGGGCGUAAAGCGUGCGCAGGCGGUGAUGUAAGACAGAUGUGAAAUCCCCGGGCUCAACCUGGGAACUGCAUUUGUGACUGCAUUGCUGGAGUGCGGCAGAGGGGGAUGGAAUUCCGCGUGUAGCAGUGAAAUGCGUAGAUAUGCGGAGGAACACCGAUGGCGAAGGCAAUCCCCUGGGCCUGCACUGACGCUCAUGCACGAAAGCGUGGGGAGCAAACAGGAUUAGAAACCCCGGUAGUCC